Molecule: ribosomal RNA, 439 nt
Filed under: uncultured bacterium
Lineage: Bacteria
Description: partial 16S ribosomal RNA
Rfam family: Bacterial small subunit ribosomal RNA
Source: RNAcentral
CCUACGGGUGGCAGCAGUGGGGGAUAUUGCACAAUGGGAGGAACCCUGAUGCAGCGACGCCGCGUGGGCGAUGGAGUGCUUCGGCAUGUAAAGCCCUAUCAGCAGGGAAGAAAAUGACGGUACCUGACUAAGAAGCCCCGGCUAAAUACGUGCCAGCAGCCGCGGUAAUACGUAUGGGGCAAGCGUUAUCCGGAUUUACUGGGUGUAACGGGUGCGCAGGCGGUCUGUUAAGUCAGCGGUCAAAGCCCGGGGCUCAACCCCGGCCCGCCGUUGAAACUGGCAGUCUCGAGUUGGAGAGAAGUAGGCGGAAUGCGCGGUGUAGCGGUGAAAUGCAUAGAUAUCGCGCAGAACUCCGAUUGCGAAGGCAGCAUGCCGGCUCCACACUGACGCUGAGGCACGAAAGCGUGGGUAUCGAACAGGAUUAGAUACCCGAGUAGUC